Molecule: non-coding RNA, 482 nt
Organism: Propithecus coquereli (Coquerel's sifaka)
Lineage: Eukaryota; Metazoa; Chordata; Mammalia; Primates; Indriidae
Source: the annotation of a RefSeq genome assembly
ACUCCUCAGUCCAAAUUCUCAAAAUGAGGCUCCCUGUUCAGCUCCUGGGGCUGCUGGUGCUCUGGGUCCCUGGAUCCAGUGGGGAGAUUGUGAUGACCCAGACUCCACUCUCCCUGCCGGUGACCCCUGGAGAGCCAGCGUCCAUCUCCUGCAGCUCUAGUCAGAGCCUCCUGCAUAGCAAUGGAAACACGUAUUUGUAUUGGUACCUGCAGAAGCCAGGCCAGUCUCCACAGCUCCUGAUCUAUCGUGUUUCCAACCGGUUGUCUGGGGUCCCAGACAGGUUCAGUGGCAGCGGGUCAGGCACAGAUUUCACACUGAAAAUCAGCAGGGUGGAGGCUGAGGAUGUUGGGGUUUAUUACUGUAUGCAAGCUCUACAAUUUCCUCUCACAGUGGUUCAGCCCCGAACACAAACUUCCCUGUCAGAGUGGCCCAGCUGCUCAAAUGCUCUGCUUGUCUUGGAAACAGGCAGGCAGAUUCCCUGA